This is a long non-coding RNA of Numida meleagris (helmeted guineafowl), 2357 nucleotides long. The record is from Ensembl. Lineage: Eukaryota; Metazoa; Chordata; Aves; Galliformes; Numididae.
GGCCCCUCCACUGGAGAUGGCAAAGCCCAAGUAAGCAGCUCCCAGCAAGGCUUGGCAGAGGCGAGCGGCUGAGAGCAACCAGCUGUGGAUUUAGGGGAGCCUGAAGCUCAUCCCACCGUGACGGGAUGCUGGGGCUCAAAGGCAGCGUGGGUGCAGGGGUGGGGGAGGGCAGGCACUGGGGCAGGCAGUGUCUCAAACUGGGUGCGAGCAGCAAUUUCUCCCUGCUGUUGCAGUGCCCAGUCACUACGAGCGAGACAGGUCCUGGCUACCCUGGAGUCAUACAAGGUGUGCCGGGAGGGCUGGAGAAAGAAGGUGGAGCAAAACUGGCUCCUUCCCAGCAGACUCAAGGAGCGCCUCAGGUGAAAGCUAUUUAUGAACUGACCUUCAAAGCCUUGGGCCAUGUCACUUUGUUGUAACAGGUAUUCUGAAAGACAAAAUCUUUUGUGAGCAGUCAAUUAUGUGCAGUGUACAUUUGAGAGGCUGCAGGAAGGAAAAUUGCUCUUUGCCAUUCUAGUUGCUGUUCUCUGGAUUGGAAGGAUGCUCUGAAAGAGCAGCCCAUGGCAGAGACUGCUCUAAAAAGCCAGAAAAUGGAGGAUCCAGAAGUGCUGCAGAGGGUGAGACUGAUGAGAAAAGGAUGAGGUAAAUGGGCAAGAAGGUUUUUGAGGUGUAAAUGGAAAACCAUGAUCUAGGCACACACAGCUACUGCAUACAUCCUGCCACAGCCCGGGGAUUGAGUGGUUAGCUGUACUGAGAGCAAAUCCAAAAGACAGGACUUUCAGCAAGGACAGAGUAGGUACAAGAUUUUGUUACAUCCAUUCUACCUCCUUCUGAGGUUUCUUUAAGGUGGGAUCCUUCUGAGCCAGUGGUAGGUCAUCCAGUUGCUAGUAGGGACUAAAAAAGCUUGAAAGACAAACUUAUGAAAUAUUUCUGAAUCACUGUUACUUUCUCAUGGCUAAAGGCAUGCAGGCCCGUUUUUGUCACGAGUAGAAGCCAGUGGUUCUUAGAGAGAGGGUCAAGAAAUAUGGGAAUAGUGAGUGAAUUACUACAAAUCACAUUGAGAUGGAGAUUGCAAAACUGAUUUUUUUUAAUGAUCACUGGGGGGAAAAACAGGAGUCAGAAUCAUAGAAUGGCUGGGGUUGGAAGAGACCUCAAAGAUCAUCUAGUUCCAAUGUGUAUCGUGUAAAGAGCAUGAAUGACCUGUGUAUGUACUUUUCUUUGGCUUCAACAGAAGAUCUUUGUGCAUACUGGGAAGGAAAGUGUGAGGAGGUUGAUAGAAGGGAGAGAUAGAAACAGGAGUUCCCAGAAGUGGCAAUCAACAAAAUUGCAAUGAGUUUCAUCCACUACAAUGAGUGGGGAGGUUGUUUGCAGCCCUGAUCAGCAAAACUUGGGCAAAAUUCUGGGCCACAGGCACAGAGUUAUGUUUUGGACACCAUCAGAGUCUGGGCAACUACCAGAGAUACUGAAAUGAAUCAUAGAAUGUAGAAUCAUAGAAUCAGCAAGGCUGGAAAAGACCUACAAGAUCAUCCAGUCCAACCAUCCAUCUAUCACCAACAGCUCUCUCUAAACCAUGUCCCUCAACACGUCUAAACACCUCCCUGAGCAGCCCAUUCCAGUGCCUGACCACUCUUUCAGAAAAGUAGUAUCUCCUAAUGGCCAGCGACCAUUCCCCCUCGUCAUGUCACUAGUUACAAGAGAGAAGAGGCCGACUCUCAGCUCAGUACAGCCUCCCUUCAGGUAGUUACAGAGAGAGAUAAGGUCUCCACUGAGACUCCUCCAGACUGAACAAUCCCAGCUCCCUCAGCCGCUCUUCAUAAGGCCUGUGCUCCAGAGCCCUCACCAGCUUCGUUGCCCUUCUCUGGACAUGCUCCAGGGCCACAAUGUCUUUCUUGCAGUGAGGGGCCCAAAACUGAACACAGUACUCGAGGUGUGGCCUCACCAGUGCUGAGUACAGAGGGACAAUUACUUCCCUGCUCCUGCUGGCAACACUAUUUCUGAUGCAAGCCAGGAUGCCAUUGGCCUUCUUGGCCACCUGGACACACUGCUGGCUCAUGUUCAGCCAAGCAUCGACCAACACCCGUAGGUCUGUUUCUUCCACACAAUCUUCCAGCCACUCUGCCCCAAGCCUGUAGCAUUGCUUGGGGUUGUUGUGGCCAAAGUGCAGGACCUGGCACUUGGUCUUGUUGAACCUCAUCCCAUUGGCUUCAGCCCAGAGAUCCAGCCUGUCCAGAUCUCUCUGUAGUGCCUUGCUACCCCCAGGCAGAUCAACACUUCCUGCCAACUUGGUGUCAUCUGCAAACUUACUGAGGGUGCACUCAGUGCCCUCAUCCAUGUCAUCAAUAAAGAUACUGAAGAGGGCA